GCUGCUAUGGCUCAGUCGGUAGAGCGCAUCCUUGGUAAGGAUGAGGUCACCGGUUCGAUUCCGGUUAGUAGCUCCA
Molecule: transfer RNA, 76 nt
Filed under: Clostridia bacterium
Lineage: Bacteria; Bacillati; Bacillota; Clostridia
Also listed under: 2 other names
Description: tRNA-Thr
Rfam family: tRNA
About the family: Transfer RNA (tRNA) molecules are approximately 80 nucleotides in length. Their secondary structure includes four short double-helical elements and three loops (D, anti-codon, and T loops). Further hydrogen bonds mediate the characteristic L-shaped molecular structure. tRNAs have two regions of fundamental functional importance: the anti-codon, which is responsible for specific mRNA codon recognition, and the 3' end, to which the tRNAs corresponding amino acid is attached (by aminoacyl-tRNA synthetases). tRNAs cope with the degeneracy of the genetic code in two manners: having more than one tRNA (with a specific anti-codon) for a particular amino acid; and 'wobble' base-pairing, i.e. permitting non-standard base-pairing at the 3rd anti-codon position.
Source: RNAcentral